Molecule: ribosomal RNA, 393 nt
Filed under: uncultured bacterium
Lineage: Bacteria
Description: partial 16S ribosomal RNA
Rfam family: Bacterial small subunit ribosomal RNA
Source: RNAcentral
AUACGGAGGAUCCGAGCGUUAUCCGGAUUUAUUGGGUUUAAAGGGUGCGCAGGCGGGAGAUUAAGUCGGCGGUGAAAUUUUGCCGCUCAACUGUAAAAGUGCCUUCGGAACUGGUUUUCUUGAGUGUAGAUGAAGUAGGCGGAAUUUGUGGUGUAGCGGUGGAAUGCAUAGAUAUCACGAGGAACUCCGAUUGCGCAGACAGCUUACUAAACUACUACUGACGCUCAGGCACGAAGGCGUGGGGAUCAAACAGGAUUAGAUACCCUGGUAGUCCACGCAGUAAACGAUGAUUACUAGCUGUUUGCGAUACAAUGUAAGCGGCUGAGCGAAAGCGUUAAGUAAUCCACCUGGGGAGUACGUUCGCAAGAAUGAAACUCAAAUGAAUUGACGGGG